Molecule: ribosomal RNA, 497 nt
Filed under: uncultured bacterium
Lineage: Bacteria
Description: partial 16S ribosomal RNA
Rfam family: Bacterial small subunit ribosomal RNA
Source: RNAcentral
GAUGAACGCUGGCGGCGUGCCUAAUACAUGCAAGUCGAGCGAAGGGACGAGAAGCUUCCUUUUCUGAUGUUAUCGGCGGGCGGGUGUGUAACGCGUGGAAAACCCACCUAUAAGAGUGGGAUAACUUCGGGAAACUGGAUAUAAUAGCGGAUAAUAAUAUGAAUCACAAGGUUCAAAUGUGAAAGGCGGUCUUGCUGUCACCUAUAGAUGGAUCCGCGUUGCAUUAGCUAGUUGGUAAGGUAACGGCUAACCAAGACAACGAUGCAUCGCCGACCUAGGGGGGGGAGCGGCCACACGGGACCUGAGACACGGUCCAAACUCCUACGGGAGGCAGCAGUAGGGAAUCUUCAGCAAUGGGCGAAAGCCUGACGGAGCAACGCCGCGGGAGUGAUGAAGUUCUUCGGAGCGUAAAACUCUGUUAUAAAGGAAGAACAUAUGUGUAAGUAACUGUGCACAUCUUGACGGUACCUAAUCAGAAAGCCACGGCUAACUACGUG